GGGUGAGGGAGUUAUUUGGUGUCUACUUUCCUAUCAAUUCUGCCCCUCUGUUUCUCUAGCAACCUGACCGCGUAGAAUGAGUGGAUUUGCAGCAAGACAGUUAAAAUAGCAAAGGAUGUAGCAAUCUAACAGAGGAAAGAGAGCUGUGUAAAAAUAUUUUGCUGUCAUAUACGUAGUUUCACUCCCCAGUAUGUACAUAUACCUUGUAGAAUUGAUGAUUUAUGUGAUCAAAAAAGAGAGCUACUUCUGAUAAAUCAGGUUACAGCUUUUCCAGCCUGUGCAUUUACCUAAGAAAAGGGCAUAAAGUAAAACAUAUGCUACUUUAUAUACAGGGAAGACUUCUGGAAAGUUAGCAACAAAGCCAGCUUUAUUACUGUUGAAUAGCUUUCUUCCCAGAGGGCGGGGGGAUUAAUGGAGCCCUCCACAGAGGAGAGGUGAUGGGCAUCUGGUAACCAUCUCCAGACAUAAGCCUACUCACCAUCAUCUUCAUCUUUCAGACCAUGAGCUAGCAGGAUGAGGCCUUGCAGUUUGUUCAUGGAUGUCUCUCAGAACAAGACAGGGACAUUUAACCUACAUGAGAGGACCUGGCAGUUUUCUGGAGCACUGGAGGAUUCCACAGGAGCUGCCCCCAGAUGCCUUCUGCAUUGCCUGGACCUGGUGCUUCCAGCUGUCAGCUCUGGAGCUGAUAUAGCAGCCCUGUGUUUGAGCAGCUGCAGCCCCGGGAAAGUUGUCUUACAGAGUGAAAGGACACCCAGGCUUCUGGCAGAACUGCCAGGUGGCCUCACAGGAGCUACUGUGGGAAUGUUUGGUAACAGAAUGAGGACACAAGCAAUAGCAGAAAAGGAAAGAUCACGUCAUCUUUGGCAUUCUUGGUCCUUGCUUCUAUUCCAGGGAGACCAAAGUUUAGGACACAAUCACAGGAUGAGUUCAGAGUGUUCAUUUCAUCAAGCCAUGAUAAUUGACAGGGUUGAUAAACUAAUACCUACGUGGACAUAGGACAUCAGUUCUGGGAACAGCUGUUUGUGACUCCUGUUUUCCUGGAAGAUCCUGGCACCACUCUGUGGACAUCUGUUCCUCACUGCCUAUCCUCAAAAUGACAACUUGAAAUGUCUUUGUGGAGCUGGAAGUUCCUGUCAGGUAUGGCUUCACACAAAGUGUUUCUGUGAUGCUGUUUUGAUACAGCUGUAUCCAGCUUGGUGGACGUAAGUGGUAUAAGAGAUCU
RNAcentral lists this long non-coding RNA (1222 nucleotides) under Anser brachyrhynchus (Pink-footed goose). RNAcentral's name for it is "lncRNA (ENSABRG00000012378.1)". Lineage: Eukaryota; Metazoa; Chordata; Aves; Anseriformes; Anatidae. The record is from RNAcentral.